This 84-nucleotide transfer RNA is filed under the name Anaerocolumna aminovalerica. Its description in RNAcentral is "tRNA-Tyr". It matches the Rfam family "tRNA". From Rfam's summary of the family: Transfer RNA (tRNA) molecules are approximately 80 nucleotides in length. Their secondary structure includes four short double-helical elements and three loops (D, anti-codon, and T loops). The record is from RNAcentral. Lineage: Bacteria; Bacillati; Bacillota; Clostridia; Lachnospirales; Lachnospiraceae.
GGGAAGUUAUACCGUAAGUAGCAGCGGGGCAGACUGUAAAUCUGUUAUUUUUGGAUUCGGGUGGUGCAACUCCACCAUUUCCCA